ACAGUAAAAAGUCCGAGGGCAGCCGCCGGGCGCAGGAUGGGAUCCGGCUCCUCCAGCUACCGGCCCAAGGCCAUCUACCUGGACAUCGAUGGACGCAUUCAGAAGGAACACAACCAUCUCCCUGCUGACCACCGACGACGCCAUGGUCUCCAUCGACCCCACCAUGCCGGCGAAUUCAGAACGCACUCCCUACAAAGUGAGACCUGUGGCCAUCAAGCAACUCUCUGCUGGUGUCGAGGACAAGAGAACCACAAGCCGUGGCCAGUCUGCUGAGAGACCACUGAGGGACAGACGGGUUGUGGGCCUGGAGCAGCCCCGGAGGGAAGGAGCAUUUGAAAGUGGACAGGUAGAGCCCAGGCCCAGAGAGCCCCAGGGCUGCUGCCAGGAAGGCCAGCGCAUCCCUCCAGAGCAUUCAAAAUCAAUGAACUGAAAGCUGAAGUUGCAAAUCACUUGGCUGUCCUAGAGAAACGCGUGGAAUUGGAAGGACUAAAAGUGGUGGAGAUUGAGAAAUGCAAGAGUGACAUUAAGAAGAUGAGGGAGGAGCUGGCGGCCAGAAGCAGCAGGACCAACUGCCCCUGUAAGUACAGUUUUUUGGAUAACCACAAGAAGUUGACUCCUCGACGCGAUGUUCCCACUUACCCCAAGUACCUGCUCUCUCCAGAGACCAUCGAGGCCCUGCGGAAGCCGACCUUUGACGUCUGGCUUUGGGAGCCCAAUGAGAUGCUGAGCUGCCUGGAGCACAUGUACCACGACCUCGGGCUGGUCAGGGACUUCAGCAUCAACCCUGUCACCCUCAGGAGGUGGCUGUUCUGCGUCCACGACAACUACAGAAACAACCCCUUCCACAACUUCCGGCACUGCUUCUGCGUGGCCCAGAUGAUGUACAGCAUGGUGUGGCUCUGCAGUCUCCAGGAGAACUUCUCACAAAUGGAUAUCCUGAUCCUAAUGACAGCGGCCAUCUGCCACGAUCUGGACCAUCCCGGCUACAACAACACGUACCAGAUCAAUGCCCGCACAGAGCUGGCGGUCCGCUACAAUGACAUCUCACCGCUGGAGAACCACCACUGCGCCGUGGCCUUCCAGAUCCUCGCCGAGCCUGAGUGCAACAUCUUCUCCAACAUCCCACCUGAUGGGUUCAAGCAGAUCCGACAGGGAAUGAUCACAUUAAUCUUGGCCACUGACAUGGCAAGACAUGCAGAAAUUAUGGAUUCUUUCAAAGAGAAAAUGGAGAAUUUUGACUACAGCAACGAGGAGCACAUGACCCUGCUGAAGAUGAUUUUGAUAAAAUGCUGUGAUAUCUCUAACGAGGUCCGUCCAAUGGAAGUCGCAGAGCCUUGGGUGGACUGUUUAUUAGAGGAAUAUUUUAUGCAGAGCGACCGUGAGAAGUCAGAAGGCCUUCCCGUGGCCCCGUUCAUGGACCGAGACAAAGUGACCAAGGCCACAGCCCAGAUUGGGUUCAUCAAGUUUGUCCUGAUCCCAAUGUUUGAAACAGUGACCAAGCUCUUCCCCAUGGUUGAGGAGAUCAUGCUGCAGCCACUUUGGGAAUCCCGAGAUCGCUACGAGGAACUGAAGCGGAUAGAUGAUGCCAUGAAAGAGUUACAGAAGAAGACUGACAGCUUGACGUCUGGGGCCACCGAGAAGUCCAGAGAGAGAAGCAGAGAUGUGAAAAACAGUGAAGGAGACUGUGCCUGAGGAAAGCGGGGGGCGUGGCUGCGGUUCUGGACAGGCUGGCCGAGCUGCGCGGGAUCCUUGUGCAGGGAAGAGCUGCCCUGGGCACCUGGCACCACAAAACCACGUUUUCUAAGAACCAUUUUGUUCACUGAUACAAAAAAAAAAAAAAGGAAUUCAUGAUGCUGUACAGAAUUUUAUUUUUAAACUGUCUUUUAAAUAAUAUAUUCUUAUACGGAAA
RNAcentral lists this small RNA (1909 nucleotides) under Pan troglodytes (chimpanzee). RNAcentral describes it as "processed transcript". Lineage: Eukaryota; Metazoa; Chordata; Mammalia; Primates; Hominidae. The record is from RNAcentral.